Molecule: ribosomal RNA, 406 nt
Filed under: uncultured bacterium
Lineage: Bacteria
Description: partial 16S ribosomal RNA
Rfam family: Bacterial small subunit ribosomal RNA
Source: RNAcentral
AUUGAACGCUGGCGGCAGGCCUAACACAUGCAAGUCGAACGAGUGGCGGACGGGUGAGUAAUGUCUGGGAAACUGCCUGCUGGAGGGGGAUAACUACUGGAAACGGUAGCUAAUACCGCAUCCCAUCAGAUGUGCCCAGAUUGGAUUAGCUGGUUGGUGGGGUAACGGCUCAACAAGGCGACGAUCCCUAGCUGGUCUGAGAGGAUGACCAUCAACACUGGAACUGGGAACAGGUCCAUACGCCUACGGGAGGCAGCAGUGGGGAAUAUUGCACAAUGAGCGCAAGCCUGAUGCAGCCAUGCCGGGUGUAUGAAGAAGGCCUUCGGGUUGUAAAGUACUAUCAGCGGGGAGGCGUUACCCGCAGAAGAAGCACCGGCUAACUCCGUGCCAGCCGCCGCGGUAAUUC